This 1900-nucleotide unclassified non-coding RNA is filed under the name Melitaea cinxia (Glanville fritillary). RNAcentral describes it as "misc RNA ENSMCXG00005015769.1". The record is from RNAcentral. Lineage: Eukaryota; Metazoa; Arthropoda; Insecta; Lepidoptera; Nymphalidae.
GACGUGGUCCUCGUUUUCUCCAGCCAAAAAACCAGCCACCAGUGACCACGUCAUAUAGUAUAGAUUUCCUCAGUUCACAAUUUAUGAUCACUGAUUGGGUAUAUUUUUUUGCUUUGGUAAGAUUAGUAAUCCUACCUACUUUUUCUGCUUCUUUGCUGGGGAAUUCCCCAAGUUUAAGAUAUUGACUUUAUGUCCAGCUUGGAAACUGAGAGACCUCCGCAACAACCCAUAGAUGACGAAACAGAUUUAGAAGGGGAUGACAUUGUACAGAAGUGUACCAAUUUUCCUUCAAUUUACGUACCUUCUGUUUUCGAAAUUAUCAGCAAAGAGAACAUGAAAGAAACAACGUCUUUUUCUUCACAAAUUGCUCUAAAUCGCACGCCAUCUCCUUCAACUCUGUGCUCGACUUCACCAGAGAUUUUCAAAACCAUUCAAAACUGGUGGUGGUCCACCACCUGCUACUAAUCCACCAACUGGUGAUGAGAUAGCAGUGUGACUCACUCAUGAGUUUACUGUAGACUCAAAUGAGUUUGAUUCGGAUAACCAGGUACAUCAAAGAUACACGGGUCGAUCAACUGUCCUUUAUAUUUACAAUUUGUAAGGAUUUUAAAAAACAGUAAGUAAAAACAAGGCGAAUUUCUUUUACAUUUUCUUUCCACUUUAUUAGAAUGUUACUAAUCAUAUUCUGAUGUUCAUUGAUAUGUUUAGGAUGACUAUGGCUAUCUUUGUUUUUAUUUUAGAACUUUCAAAGGCCGUAACUUAGUGGACAAAAGUUUUGAAAAAAAUCUGGGGACACAGUUUAAUAUUUUUUUAAUGGUAAAAUUAAAUAUUAAAAAACUGAAAAACAUGUAAAUGGGUUUAGAGAGUAUUAUAGAUUGUGAUAAAAAAUGGAAAUCAAUGCGUUUCCAUGCAAUAUUUUUAAAUUGAUGCGUCAAUGAAUAACUGAACUAGUCAUGAGAACAGCAAUUACUUGUAUGGGACCAAGAUCUUGUCAAUUAAGUUCCCGUUAAAAUAAUUAAAAAUAAUUGAAUGAUUAUAAUGAAGUUCCGUUUAAUAGCAAUGCUGUGUAUUCUAAAAACUGUUUAUGAUAUGAAGUUUGGAAAACGAUUAGUAUGGUGAGUCACACAUAAUAUAUAUAUAUAUAUAUAUAUAUAUAUAUUAAGUGUAGGGACAAUGUUUUUACAAAGAAUAGUUGAUUGACCCACACAUACUUCAAUAAGUAUUCCAUCUGCAGUAAAGAAACAUGUAUAUAACUACAUUAAUUCUUGUUUCAGCUAUUAAGUGACAAUAAAAUAGGAAAACCAGAACCACCAAUUCUAGUACUUAAAUCACCACUUCUCUGUGAGAAUCCUGAACCAGAAAUAGAAAUGGUAUGUUUAUUAUACAGUUAUUAAUAACUUGUAGUAGCCAAAUGCUGUUACUAUUUAUAUAUGUUAUUAUACACUGUAAUGUAAUGCAUAAUAAAUAAUUUUAAUUCAUUAUUUUAGAUGUCGCAACCAGGCACAUCAAUAAAGACCUAACACAACACACCAACAAGUAACUUAUUGAUAAAUAUGAAACAUGUUUAUACUUCAUUUGCAUCAUAUUGCAUGUACUUAGCAAUUAGCUAAAUAAUUAAAAAAAAAAAAAAAAAAACAAAAACUUCUAAACAACCGGACACACUACAGAUCACCACCAACCACACCAACAAAGAAAAAAGUGAAGUCCGAAUUAUAAAUUAAGAAAUAAACAGGGAAGACAAAGCCUCGAGGGGUAUUACUGUUCCUGUAUACACGGCCGUCGCACUGUUGGGAGUUGCGCGCACAUCGCCAGUGUGGUAUACUUUUUAUCUUGGGCAUCAAGACGAAUUUCACGCACCUGCGGCGUUUUUAGAUGAAACUAUUUUAGAUUUGGAUGCAGC